Egretta garzetta (little egret) is the source of this 2413-nucleotide long non-coding RNA. RefSeq lists it as uncharacterized. NCBI's taxonomy places the organism in Eukaryota, Metazoa, Chordata, Aves, Pelecaniformes, Ardeidae. The record is from RefSeq and is a predicted model, not a curated record. The transcript is spliced from 4 exons.
GAUUGUCCAUAUAUUCCCACAAUACUUUGUGGCCCUGGAUUGUCCAUAUAUUCCCACAAUACUUUGUGGCCCUGUUGUUCGAGAAACUCCUCUACAAGCGGGUAUUUCAUUACCUCUUACCUGAGAAUGGGCAUUCUGCUGCCUUUGCACCGAUGCUUCUGAUGGGGUGGAACAGAGCGGCUGUUGCAGGAUCCGCGUUGCCUUGGAAACAGCUCACUUACUUACAACCUGACUUUAAUACUGUUUUCCUUACCUUUCUUACCUGUUACUGUGCCCCAGCUACAGAAAGGUUUUUGCCGCGUUACAGUAAAAACUGUAGCAAAGUCUGUCCGUGUUGGCUUCGCUGGAUUUUAGUGUUUCCUCAGUCAUGCACCUCUGGCACUGGUAUUCCGGGGGCAGGACAGCCCGCCCGGCUCUGCAGCACCCAGGUCUGAGGAGGGAGCGUGGUUCUGCUGCUGCUCUGAAGGUUCAGGCCAGCAUCACGGACAGAACAGGAGGCCGCAGAUUGCAGGGAGUGGGCAGACCUGCAGGGUGAAGGGCUGCGGCAGGCGGAGGGACUCCUUGGCACCAAGUGCCGAGGCUGCAGUCUGCAACAGUGCAGGAAACCGGUGCUCCUCGUGACAAAACAUCCUGGGCCUUUCAGCUGGAUGGGGAGACAGUCACGGUUAUGUGAGGGAAUUUGCGUAUAAUACAGAAGGUUUUGCUACUAAUAGAUUGCAGGUAAAAGAGGAAUUUUGUGCUCCCUUUUGAAGCGGGCUUUUCUGGAAAACGUUGUGUCACGGGGAAGCGUGUCUGUUCGUGAAAGAGGACGGAGGUGGGCACGCUUUGUUUAGGAGGAGCCCAGCAGACCUUGCUUUAGCCAGAGACGAGGGAGCGGGGAGAAGCGAAGCAGCCUUUCUCCUGAACUGGAGGUGUGUCAAGAUGGGGAAGACGUGAGGUGAAGGCCUGGUGCGGCAGAGCGGAGGAGAGCGACUGAAGGUGCAGCCGACCAGGGUAAGUCUUAGCGGGACAGAGGAGACGUGGCGAUUUUGGGGGUGGGGGGGGUGGGGGGCAAGGUAGCAUUCACAGGGCAGACAGCAACGUAACGCCCUUUGCGCGUUCCUUGAAGCGUUUCAGUGUGGCAGUUAAGGGGUGGAUCCUGCCCCUGAAUCCUGUCCCACGAGACCCCUUCUGCAAAAUGGCAAAUACUUUGCCUCUUUGUUUUCUGCCUCUGAGCAAAGCUGCCUGUCGUAGAGCAGCCACAUUCCGGAGUCAAUCCGGCGGGUGCGGGACCCUGCUGGGUCGGGCCUGUUAGCUGUGGGGGUUACGGACGUUCUGGCCCACGCUCAGCGGGAAGGCAGUGGUGCCUGGUAAAGGUGGUUGAGCUGGGGGCCCUGCGGGGCUGGGAAGCGAGCGGUGAGGGGAUUUGCUGAGGGAAGGCCUUUGCCCAGGCCCAAAUGAGGGAGGCUGGGGGCGCAGAGGCUCAUUUGCUGGGGCUACCUGACAUAACCCCCUGCUGGUUUUUGCUGCUAGCGUGCAUGAAUGCCUUGUGUGCGCAGCGCAGGACUGUGCCUCCUGCCGCCCCACGCAGAGAUGGCGCCUAAACCCUGCCACGCUCGGGUGCGCUGUGGAGGGCUCAGCUGUACCGAGGAGCCGCUGGGGAGCCUCGCCGGGGACCGGCCUGCCUCGCUGAAGCGGCGACUGGGCAGGUAUGGUUCUUUUCAUGCAGCAUCAGCGCAGGCAGUGAGGCAGGGGCGCUGGGGGCUGUGAAACGAAUCACAGCGUAUUUGUGCUGCUUGCACAGGGUUUGACACGGGUGGGUCCUGCCGUAAGAGAGGCCUGGGGAGGGGAAGUGAGCCCUCCACUCAAAACCCCAUGUGCAUGUGUCUAUGCUGUGUCCCCAGUCUGGGAUAUCCAGUGCAGGGAUGGCCUGGCCUUACUGCAGAGCUGUGCAGGAGUUAACGUAGCCCCUGGCUGUGUCCUGGCCUGGCGGGGUCCCGGGAGAUUGCUGAGGGGAGCUGGUGAGAGCUGCCCAACUCCAGACUGACGUUUACAGCGCCUGCGUGCCAGCGUAUCCCUUUCCGCAGGCCGAGAGCCUUUCCAGCCAGAUGAAGAUCAAUGACGGCUGGAACGGUAACAGCACGAGGCUCUGGGGAGGGGUGAGGUGCACUGAGAGCGAGCGAGCGCUUUCAUUGGAGAGCACAGGCUCCCUUCUGUAGCUGCUAAGGACCGAGGGACACCGCAGGGCUCAGGAUCCAAAAUCUGUUGCACUCAGGCCCAGUUUCUAGUGAAGUCUAAUGGCCUGCUCACGCCUGCUGUGUUGGAAUGAGCUAGCGCUGCUGCCCGCUGCUUUAAAGAACAAAGCUGAGCGAGAUGUUCCAGGGAAGGAUCUGGAGGAUUCUGUGUCCACCUCAUGAUGCAGGCAAGAUGGGAG